Long non-coding RNA from Coregonus clupeaformis (lake whitefish), 332 nucleotides. RefSeq lists it as uncharacterized. NCBI's taxonomy places the organism in Eukaryota, Metazoa, Chordata, Actinopteri, Salmoniformes, Salmonidae. The transcript has 2 exons. The record is from RefSeq and is a predicted model, not a curated record.
CUUGAUCUCACUAUCCCCAUUCCUUCCGGUGGACCCUAGCCCACCAGAAUCACUACCGGCGUACGUUCCCCCCGUCCCAGCCCCUAUCCCUUUCCUUGCCCCUGCUCCUGUGCCUGUUGUUGCCCCUUCUCCAAUGUAUAACCCUGUUACUGCCCCUGCACUGUCCCCGUUGGAGACACUGUACACAAAAGGCAGUGAUCAGGGUAGUGACCCCCUGGACCAGGUGCUGAUUGAGGACUUGGGUCCUGAUGAGAAGGAAGACAUCCCUCCAUCUCAAAACAACCAGGGCACUGAUCAAGGUUCAAGUGAGGAGCUGUCUGUCAAAGUGCCUG